CAGCAGCCGCGGGAAUACGAGGGGGGCAAGCGUUGUUCGGAAUUAUUGGGCGUAAAGGGUGCGUAGGCGGUUUGACAAGUCUUAUGUGAAAUCUCUGGGCUCAACCCAGAGUCUGCAUGGGAAACUGUCGGGCUUGAGUAUGGGAGAGGUGAGUGGAAUUUCCGGUGUAGCGGUGAAAUGCGUAGAUAUCGGAAGGAACACCUGUGGCGAAAGCGGCUCACUGGACCAUAACUGACGCUGAUGCACGAAAGCUAGGGGAGCAAACAGGAUUAGAUACCCCAGUAGUCCCUGUCUCUUAUAA
This 301-nucleotide ribosomal RNA is filed under the name uncultured bacterium. RNAcentral's name for it is "partial 16S ribosomal RNA". It matches the Rfam family "Bacterial small subunit ribosomal RNA", at positions 509 to 809 of the family's 1533-position model. The record is from RNAcentral.